Helianthus annuus (common sunflower) is the source of this 2398-nucleotide long non-coding RNA. RefSeq lists it as uncharacterized. The record is from RefSeq and is a predicted model, not a curated record. Lineage: Eukaryota; Viridiplantae; Streptophyta; Magnoliopsida; Asterales; Asteraceae. The transcript is spliced from 5 exons.
CAAAAUGUCAAACCUAAAAUUACAUUCCCCAAAAUCGGAACCCUAGUUAUCAGAGGACACUUGAGAGACGAUACAUGUCAAUACUCCAAAUCGGAACUCUUCCUGCUUCAAAGCGGAUCUAAAUCAGCAAACAUCGAGAUCGGAACUCCAUCCACUGACGAAUCGUCGGCAACAAUGGCGGAAUUGCUGCUGUUAGCCUCCGUUUUUCAACAAUCGUACGUCUCCGAACUCCUUCCCUUCACUCUCGAAUCGUCGGCAACAAUGGCAGAAUGGAUGUUAAAAACUAUUGUUCAUUCAUUUAUCGUUGGUAAACCAUUUCUAUCUGAUUACAAGGAGUUUGCUUCUCUGUAAAUUUGAUGUAAGUUGCUGCUACUGAUGAGGAUUUGCAGAUUUGUAGUCAAUUAGAUUCAUAGGUUUCUAUGUGUAUAUUUGAUGGCAAAGGAUUUUUUUAUUACAAGGACUCUGUUUAUAUGUGAAUUUGAAGUAAAUUGCUGCUAGGGCUGGAGAUUUACAAAUUACAAAUAUAUAUCAAUGAGAUUCAUAGGUUUAUAUAUGUUGAUUGAUAAAUCUCUAACUGCUGCCCUCUGGAGCUACAUGCUUCCGAAAUUUUUAGUAUGAACAACCUUAACAAAGUAGGUAUAUCCCCUAGUUCAUCCUUCAUAUUCAAUAAACUAUGUAUGUUAUACUACUUGAUGCUUUAAAUGUAUAACAAUUUGGCUUUUGAAUAGGUGAAUUUCUUACAUAUCAUUGGCUUAAGUUUGGUAGAUCUACUGUCAUGUCGUAGGGUUUUGAUAUGAUGAUUAAUGUUUUCAAAAGUUUUACAUGAUUAUUGAGUAAUUUGAUAAUGAGGUUAAGUGUUUCCCUUUAGGUAGAUAUGCUAAAGGAUUAAACUAGUGCUCUAGGUUAUGACUAUCUUAGGUGUUUUAUUUGAUUCGUGUAGUUGACUCACAGUCUUCACAUAUUGUUUUUCUUUCAUAUUAUCUUAUUUAUGUGGUUUCUAAGGGUAGAUCAUGGAGUAACUAGUAACAUUACUAUUGAUGAUUGCUCUUUUUUCUAGUGAGCACAAUUUCAUGACACAAAGACAUUUAUUGCUAAGUGCACAAACUUCCCUUCACAAGGGUCUCAACUUUAUUAUAUGUUGUUUCUGAAGGGAUAUAUAAAGUAUAAACAAACAUGUUCCCAUUUUCCCCAAUUUGAAUUGAACCUAAAGCCACCAAAAGGUCCUUUGUUUAAUCAAAUACCACUCAUGAUAAUUCGAGAAUACGUUAUUACUUAUGAAAAGUGCGCCUGAACUGCACCUUGGCGUAAAGUCCUUCGCUUUUGUGUAGAUAAGGCGCGGGCUGUACAAGGUCCUUCGCUUAUUUACCUGAAUUAUACAUCUAUCCAAGCAACCGCUUUGAUGGAGGCAUGGAACCUAUUGUUAUUGCAGGGUGUGAUCAAAGAGCAGGAAAAUCACUCUCUCUUCACAAGAGAGUAGAGCAGUUGUGUACCAGAGCAAUCAAAUGGGCAGAAUUGAAGAGGAAAACGAAGCUUCCCACUAGACAAAGGCAAUGUUGGAAUGGCUGCUUACCUGAACAUGUUUUCAUUCAUUUUCUUUGUUUUACAAGACCUUAAAAGAGACGGUUAAGACAUGGAAGGACUUUCGGCAACUUCUGUAGAGUUGAGUGCAGUUGUUCUUCACGACAAAGAAGCUCAAUUCAGCAGUCCAAAUCUCAACAUUGUUGGUAAGAGAGUACCAACAGUUAACUUCAUACGCCACAACUUUCGAAGAGAAUUAGGGAAAGCCUCCAGGGAACUUUAACUCAGAUGGUGAUUUGAAAGAAGGAAAUGUGGAAAUUGCAGACUUUGAUUUGGCAAAUAUGUUUGAUAAUGGUGGAAAUGUGGCACUAACAGUUUGUGUUGUGACACUCUGGUAUCGACCACCUGGACUUCUACUUGGAGCGACUCAUUAUGUAGUGGUGGUGGACUUGUGGAGCCCUAAAUGCAUUCUUGGUGGCAAACCUUUCAUGCUAGGUUGAGCAAUUACGUAAAAUAUUCAAGGUUUGAGGUUCGCCAUCUGAAGGUUAUCGAAUAAAGUUAAAAUUACAAGACUUGACGGAGUUCAAACUUACAUAGCCUUGUUGUCAACAACGCAUUGAAGAAACUUUUACGGAUGUUCCUUCUGUUAUGCUUUUUAUGCAAAACAGAUAACGGGUCAUUUGUAGCGAAAUAGCCUCAACUUUGUGUAUUAAACAUGUUAAGCAAUCCGACCCAAAACCUGAAAUUGUUGUUUAUAGGAUGGGUCAGCUUAACAGUUUUUUUUUUUUUUUUUCCUGCAAGGUUUUAGCAAAAAAGCUGGAUUUUCCAGCUUUUUUAAUAUUCCGUCACAAAUGCGUAGCAAUAUUUUUUUAUUUUUAAA